This 368-nucleotide ribosomal RNA is filed under the name uncultured organism. RNAcentral's name for it is "partial 16S ribosomal RNA". It matches the Rfam family "Bacterial small subunit ribosomal RNA", at positions 527 to 896 of the family's 1533-position model. The record is from RNAcentral.
GUAGGGUGCAAGCGUUAAUCGGAAUUACUGGGCGUAAAGCGUGCGCAGGCGGUUUUGUAAGUCUGUCGUGAAAGCCCCGGGCUUAACCUGGGAAUUGCGAUGGAGACUGCAAGGCUUGAAUCUGGCAGAGGGGGUAGAAUUCCACGUGUAGCAGUGAAAUGCGUAGAGAUGUGGAGGAACACCGAUGGCGAAGGCAGCCCCCUGGGUCAAGAUUGACGCUCAUGCACGAAAGCGUGGGGGGGAGCAAACAGGAUUAGAUACCCUGGUAGUCCACGCCCUAAACGAUGUCUACUAUUGUGGGUCUUAAUUGACUUGGUAACGCAGCUAACGCGUGAAGUAGACCGCCUGGGAGUACGGUCGCAAGAUUA